CCUUCCUUCCAUUUCCCAGAAAGUUCAAUAUUAGCUACAGGCAGUUCAAGAGAGGUGGAGAUGCAUACAUUAGUCAGACGUCUACGGGGGUAGUGGUCAAAAUAGUGACUUGUUAAUCUCUCAUCAUGAAUUUUAAAGUAUGAGGAAAACGCCCGACAGCGUAUUUAAGAGGCGGUAUCACCAUCAUCAGUAAGGACAGACUGUUCCUCUGCAAACACUGACGUCUGCAACAGACACUGGCUGGCAGGUGGUAGUGACAGUUGCUCUUUGGGCAAGAAGCUUCUUCUUUGUGUGACGAUGGGGGAGAGCGAGGCAUGCUUAUUUUCACCUGUUGCUCCUGCUGAGACCUGGCUUAAACACUGCCUGUCCACACACUUCAGGCCUAAACACUCACUUGAGGAGGGUUCCCAAAGUGACCACUGUUCAUCUCAGCCAUUUUGCACCAGAAAGAGACUUGUGGUGGCCCUUCUGGUCAUUUUGGCUUUGAUAGUCAUGAUCCUGCUCUUUCUGCUGAAUUAUUAUUGUAUUAUGGUCUGGCACAUGUGUCAGCAUGAAGAGUCUGCUCUGCCAAUGUUUCAAAACACCACACCAGAACUGGACAUUCAGCGCUGAGAUGUUACACAUUGUAUUAUUUUUGUGUUAAUAUUUGGUGCACCCAUCUGGGAUGCAUUUCUAUGGUGUGCUGCUGUGUUUGUUUUUUUUUUUUUUUUUUUUUUUCUUUGUCUUGUUUGGAUGAACUGAAAUAACACUGACAUUUCCAGUGUGAGCUUUUCCAGUGUACUAUAUGUGUGAUUUUAAAAAGGAAAUUAUUCACGUUGUCAAGUUACUCAGUUUUUGAACUUUUAGUUUUGUAUUUAUUUAAAUGAUUUCUUAGGUUUGUCGUUGAAAAUUAAGCCUACCUUAUUUGGCAAAGUCACUGUAUUUAUCCAUUUAUUUAAAUCUGUUAAUCUUUAUCUUGUGAAGCUUGAAAUGUAGUUAAAUACUGUUCAUAAAUCUAUGAUUGUUUAA
Puntigrus tetrazona (Sumatra barb) is the source of this 1008-nucleotide long non-coding RNA. RefSeq lists it as uncharacterized. The record is from RefSeq and is a predicted model, not a curated record. NCBI's taxonomy places the organism in Eukaryota, Metazoa, Chordata, Actinopteri, Cypriniformes, Cyprinidae. The transcript has 2 exons.